CACACACACACACACACACACACACACACACACACAUACAUACACACAUGUGCACACAGCACACCUCCCUGCCAUUUCAUAUGUUUGUGGAAUGAAUUUGAUACAAUAUAGAAGGAUAAAUUGAUCACCAGCGGGACCUACCGUAAAAUGUUUUCUGAAAAUUCUUUCUUAUUGCUCUAACAUCACUUUACCAUCUUGAGGGUCUAUGUCUGAGUCUGACUUGUUGUAAUUUGUAUUGACUCUCUUUCUUCAUGCUGUUGUGUCUGACCACCACUAACUUGUUAUUGGGGAUGUAGCUAUUAAACCUAUCAAUUUUGUCUUCAGACAGAGGUCAACAUCUACCAUUCUUCAGGAUGUGGCCAUCUCUUUCUUUCCCCAUCCCCAUUUUGUUUUCAGUAAGUAUCGACUCCACUUGCUGAUGUUAUUCAAGGGCAGAAAGUCAGUUGACAGAAGAGAGUAGGACAUCUAAAUACCUUUUUGUAUUUAGGCUUUUUUUUAUUUUUAUUUUGUUUCUCAUUCUACAUUCUGAAUACAAGCCCUCUGCCAGUAUCAAAUAAGCCUUUCAUUUUCUUAGUGAGGUCAAUACAAUUCCAAAACAAUCUAGUAGUACUACCAGUGUUGGUUCAAAUGACUGUGCCCCCCUCUUCCCAACAUUGGCUUGGUUGUGUCUCAUAAAAAAAACAUCAGUCAAGGAUAGCAUGAAGUAGUAAAUGGAUUGUGUGGGGUAGAGUUAUUUAGAGUAUUGUGGAAACAGGAUUGGUACGGGUGGGUGUUGGGAGGCUAUAUUGCCAGUAGUAACCUCCAGACAAAUGCAUGUUGCAUGUGCAUCUGGGAAGUGGAGGGGGUCAACAUUCUUUCUUUGUAUUGUCCUUUUAUAAUUUACCCACCACCACUACCUGUAAAAUGAUCAAGUAUUUUUGAAUUUCUGAGAGAUGGUGAAGGAAAUGUACAAUAGAGCCAGCUGUGGUAUUUAGUUUUGUCUCUACAUUCUGAGUUCAAAUCUCAUUGGAGUUAACUUUUUCAUCUUUUUGCAGGGAUCAAUAAACAAGAACCUAGUUCAAAGUCAACUGAUAAAGUCAACUUCGCCUUUCAUUCUCAUGGAAUUGAAAAAAAUAAGUCCAAUGUGUAGUAUUGUGCCAAUGUAGGGAAAUCCAUUUUUUUUUCUUAUUAUGAACACCAAGGACAACAGUCAGCAUAAGCCAUGGAAAUUGUUUAUUGGAUAUUUUGAAGAAUGUAAAUUUCAGUGCUUCAUUGUUCAAGUCAACCCAUUCUUAGCUGUGUGUGUAUUUAUAUACACACACAUGCACACUGGUUAAUUCUAGUUGCAAAAAUUCCUUUUGUACCUCAUCAAAAGGAAUUAUAAUUAUUGGCAAAUGUCUUUGUUGUAACCAGUUCAUUUCAUUUUAUCUCUAAUAUUUUAGGAAAGGCAUGCACAUCACAUUUUCUUAUUUCUCUACUCUUGUAAAUCUGAGAUUUUGUACUUAUGCAAAAUAUGUAGAAAUCUUUAUUUCUAAGGAGCAGAAUAGUUAAAAGAACAAAACUUCAGGCAAGAAGUACCACAUACUUGAGUUCAAAUCCCAUUGUCAUUGAAUUCUUUUUUUUUUUUUUUUGUAAUACUAGUAAAGUUCUAAUAACAUGCUGUUAGUGGAUUUAACUUAGCCUUAACCUGAUGCAAUGUUAAGUCCUUAGCGAUCUUAGUUUUGACUUUCUUUUGUCAUUGAAGACUACUUCACUUAGUGCAAAAUAUAGAAAAAAAUUUGAAAGACAAAUUCUAAAAACAUUUGGUUUUCAUGCCUACAAUUACACAUUACAAAUCAUCAUUACUGUCAUCAGUCUCGUUGUUAUUAUUGCAAAUGCAGUUAGAGUAGAUGUUAAAAUCUAGUGAAGUUAAUAUGGGAUUUGUUUCUUAGUCAUUGCUAUUUCAUUUCACUUAAAUUUGUAAUGCCUUAAAAAAUUGAACAUCAUACACUCUCAAUUCACCUUCUCCAUAAAGCUGAUGCUUUGGAUUCAGGUAAGGCUGCUGUUAUUUAUAAUAAUAUUUAGUACUCUGAACUGGUUACACAUUUUUUUGCCUGGUUAAAAAAACUAUUACUAAGUUGUUAUGAAUGGUGCAGUAUGGCUAGAAGUGGUAGAGUAAUGGAAUACAUUUCACUUUUAAGUUCUGUUCUUUUAUAUUUGGGGUUCAAAUCCAGAUGGAGCUUAAUAAAAAUAGAUUCAACCUUGAACUGGAGUUGAUUCAGUUGCCCACUCCUCUCCUCUAUUUGUUUGUGGCCUAGUUACCAGUCUAAGAAAUCCUCAUUAUUAUUUAAAGGAGCUUGGUUGGGGUAAUUAGUAGAUAGAACAAACUAAAUACUAUUUGGUAUUUACUUUCAUUGUUGUAGGUUCCAAUAUCAAAUUCUGCCUGUAUUGACUCUUACAUUUCAUCUCCCCAUAAACAGAAAGGUUUAUUAGUACCAAUGAUAAAUAUAUUUGGAUAAAUUCGAUUAACUUUAGCUCAGCAUCCUAUCCCCAUCUCUUCUGCAAAAUAGGUCUUGUACCUUGUCAAAAGAAAUCAUCUUUGUUUAAUAAAUAUACCAAUUAAUCUUACAGCCAUAUUCACACUUCACUGAUUCACACGGAAUUUUAAUCUCCAACCAAUCUUCCAUAUUAUGUCAAGAAUCCCUUCCUCUUUUGGUGGAUGGAGGACAUCUUCAGUUGUUCUGUUUAUUUAAAACAAUUAGCAAGAAGAUUCCAGACAAGUUCCAAUCAGUAACUGCCUAAGUAAUAACUCUUUGGACUCUGCUGAACUGGUGCUGCUGCCACCACUACCAUGACCACGAACAGCAACAAUACUACUGCAACCACCACACCACUAACGACAACAACACUUGAGCCAUUAUCUAUUUGAAUGAAAUUUAAAUAAACUGUUUGUUCAUACUAA
Long non-coding RNA from Octopus sinensis (East Asian common octopus), 2920 nucleotides. RefSeq lists it as uncharacterized. Lineage: Eukaryota; Metazoa; Mollusca; Cephalopoda; Octopoda; Octopodidae. The record is from RefSeq and is a predicted model, not a curated record. The transcript is spliced from 3 exons.